This 483-nucleotide ribosomal RNA is filed under the name uncultured bacterium. RNAcentral's name for it is "partial 16S ribosomal RNA". It matches the Rfam family "Bacterial small subunit ribosomal RNA", at positions 28 to 523 of the family's 1533-position model. The record is from RNAcentral.
GAUGAACGCUGGCGGCGUGCCUAAUACAUGCAAGUCGAGCGAACCACUUCGGUGGUGAGCGGCGAACGGGUGAGUAACACGUAGGUGAUCUGCCCAUCAGACGGGGACAACGAUUGGAAACGAUCGCUAAUACCGGAUAGGACGAAAGUUUAAAGGUGCUUCUGGCACCGCUGAUGGAUGAGCCUGCGGCGCAUUAGCUAGUUGGUAGGGUAAAGGCCUACCAAGGCGACGAUGCGUAGCCGACCUGAGAGGGUGAACGGCCACACUGGGACUGGGACACGGCCCAGACUCCUACGGGAGGGAGCAGUAGGGAAUCUUCGGCAAUGGGCGAAAGCCUGACCGAGCAACGCCGCGUGAAUGAUGAAGGCCUUCGGGUUGUAAAAUUCUGUUAUAAGGGAAGAACGACUUUAGUAGGAAAUGGCUAGAGUGUGACGGUACCUUAUGAGAAAGCCACGGCUAACUACGUGCCAGCAGCCGCCGUAA